RNAcentral lists this ribosomal RNA (254 nucleotides) under uncultured bacterium. RNAcentral's name for it is "partial 16S ribosomal RNA". It matches the Rfam family "Bacterial small subunit ribosomal RNA", at positions 524 to 776 of the family's 1533-position model. The record is from RNAcentral.
UACGUAGGGCGCAAGCGUUGUCCGGAAUUAUUGGGCGUAAAGAGCUCGUAGGCGGUCUGUCACGUCUGCCGUGAAAACCCGAGGCUUAACCUCGUGGCUUGCGGUGGAUACGGGCAGACUAGAGGUAGGUAGGGGAGAACGGAAUUCCCGGUGUAGCGGUGAAAUGCGCAGAUAUCGGGAGGAACACCGGUGGCGAAGGCGGUUCUCUGGGCAGUAACUGACGCUGAGACGCGAAAGCGUGGGGAGCGAACAGG